RNAcentral lists this ribosomal RNA (437 nucleotides) under uncultured bacterium. RNAcentral's name for it is "bacterial SSU rRNA". It matches the Rfam family "Bacterial small subunit ribosomal RNA", at positions 32 to 507 of the family's 1533-position model. The record is from RNAcentral.
UCAACGCUGGCGGCGUGCCUAACACAUGCAAGUCGCACGGCGGGGGCAACUCCGUCAGUGGCGGACGGGUGAGUAACGCGUAGGAAUCUAUCCUUGAAUGGGGGACAACCGUGGGAAACUACGGCUAAUACCGCAUGAUGCCUGAGGGCCAAAGGCGCAAGUCGCCUGAGGAGGAGCCUGCGUCCGAUUAGCUAGUUGGUGGGGUAAAGGCCUACCCAAGCCUACGAUCAGUAGCUGGUCUGAGAGGAUGAUCAGCCACAUUGGGACUGAGACACGGCCCAAACUCCUACGGGAGGCAGCAGUGGGGAAUAUUGGACAAUGGGCGCAAGCCUGAUCCAGCAAUGCCGCGUGGGUGAAGAAGGUCUUCGGAUUGUAAAGCCCUUUUGGCGGGGACGAUGAUGACGGUACCCGCAGAAUAAGCUCCGGCUAACUUCGUG